This 497-nucleotide ribosomal RNA is filed under the name uncultured bacterium. RNAcentral's name for it is "partial 16S ribosomal RNA". It matches the Rfam family "Bacterial small subunit ribosomal RNA", at positions 28 to 507 of the family's 1533-position model. The record is from RNAcentral.
GAUGAACGCUGGCGGCGUGCCUAAUACAUGCAAGUCGAGCGAACAGACGAGGAGCUUGCUCCUCUGACGUUAGCGGCGGACGGGUGAGUAACACGUGGAUAACCUACCUAUAAGACUGGGAUAACUUCGGGAAACCGGAGCUAAUACCGGAUAAUAUAUUGAACCGCAUGGUUCAAUAGUGAAAGACGGUUUUGCUGUCACUUAUAGAUGGAUCCGCGCCGCAUUAGCUAGUUGGUAAGGUAACGGCUUACCAAGGCAACGAUGCGUAGCCGACCUGAGAGGGGAGGCGCCCAAAGGGAAACGGAGAACGGCCCCAGCCUCCGGGGGGGGGAACAAGAGGGAAUUCUGCAGAAAGGGGGCAAAGCCUGAGGGAGCACGGCCGGGUGGGUGAUAAAGUUCUUCGGAUCGAAAACCUGUGUUAUGGGGGAAAAAAAAAGGUGUAAGUAACUAUGCCCGUCUGGACGGUACAUAAUCAAAAAGCAACGGCUAACUACGUG